This 675-nucleotide ribosomal RNA is filed under the name uncultured organism. Its description in RNAcentral is "bacterial SSU rRNA". It matches the Rfam family "Bacterial small subunit ribosomal RNA", at positions 744 to 1402 of the family's 1533-position model. The record is from RNAcentral.
CGCUGAGGCUCGAAAGCGUGGGUAGCAAAACGGAUUAGAUACCCGUGUAGUCCACGCCGUAAACGAUCCCUGUUAGAUGUAUGUUUCGUCUGUUUAUUUUUCCUUCGGGAAGGGUAAAGGGCAAGAUGUGCGUCGUAGUUAACGCGUUAAACAGGGCGCCUGGGAAGUACGGCCGCAAGGCUAAAACCCAAAGGAAUUGACGGGGACCCGCACAAGCAGUGGAGCGCCUGGUUUAAUUCGAUGGUCAGCGAAGAACCUCACCUAGGCUUGAACUGUAGCUGCACGCUCCCAGAAACGGGAGAAUCCUUCGAGGGUGCUACAGAGGUGCUGCAUGGCUGUCGUCAGCUCGUGUCGUGAGAUGUAGGGUUAAGUCCCACAACGAGCGCAACCCCUAUUCAGUGUCAUAAUUACUCUGAAGACUGCCCUGUCCACCCGGGGAGCAAGGAGGGGACGACGUCCAGUCAUCAUGUCCAUUAUGUCUAGGGCUACACAGACGCUACAAUGGCCGGUACAAUGGGUUGCCAAACCGCGAGGUGGAGCCAAUCCCAUCAAAGCCGGUCCCAGUUCGGAUUGCAGUCUGCAACUCGACUGCAUGAAGUUGGAAUUGCUAGUAAUCGCGAUCUAGCACGUCGCGGUGAAUGCGUUCUCGGGUCUUGUACACACCGCCCGUCAGGC